AAGCAGCUUGCUGCUUCGCUGACGAGUGGCGGACGGGUGAGUAAUGUCUGGGAAGCUGCCUGAUGGAGGGGGAUAACUACUGGAAACGGUAGCUAAUACCGCAUAAUGUCGCAAGACCAAAGAGGGGGACCUUCGGGCCUCUUGCCAUCGGAUGUGCCCAGAUGGGAUUAGCUUGUUGGUGGGGUAACGGCUCACCAAGGCGACGAUCCCUAGCUGGUCUGAGAGGAUGACCAGCCACACUGGAACUGAGACACGGUCCAGACUCCUACGGGAGGCAGCAGUGGGGAAUAUUGCACAAUGGGCGCAAGCCUGAUGCAGCCAUGCCGCGUGUAUGAAGAAGGCCUUCGGGUUGUAAAGUACUUUCAGCGGGGAGGAAGGGAGUAAAGUUAAUACCUUUGCUCAUUGACGUUACCCGCAGAAGAAGCACCGGCUAACUCCGUGCCAGCAGCCGCGGUAAUACGGAGGGUGCAAGCGUUAAUCGGAAUUACUGGGCGUAAAGCGCACGCAGGCGGUUUGUUAAGUCAGAUGUGAAAUCCCCGGGCUCAACCUGGGAACUGCAUCUGAUACUGGCAAGCUUGAGUCUCGUAGAGGGGGGUAGAAUUCCAGGUGUAGCGGUGAAAUGCGUAGAGAUCUGGAGGAAUACCGGUGGCGAAGGCGGCCCCCUGGACGAAGACUGACGCUCAGGUCCGAAAGCGUGGGGAGCAAACAGGAUUAGAUACCCUGGUAGUCCACGCCGUAAACGAUGUCGACUUGGAGGUUGUGCCCUUGAGGCGUGGCUUCCGGAGCUAACGCGUUAAGUCGACCGCCUGGGGAGUACGGCCGCAAGGUUAAAACUCAAAUGAAUUGACGGGGGCCCGCACAAGCGGUGGAGCAUGUGGUUUAAUUCGAUGCAACGCGAAGAACCUUACCUGGUCUUGACAUCCACGGAAGUUUUCAGAGAUGAGAAUGUGCCUUCGGGAACCGUGAGACAGGUGCUGCAUGGCUGUCGUCAGCUCGUGUUGUGAAAUGUUGGGUUAAGUCCCGCAACGAGCGCAACCCUUAUCCUUUGUUGCCAGCGGUCCGGCCGGGAACUCAAAGGAGACUGCCAGUGAUAAACUGGAGGAAGGUGGGGAUGACGUCAAGUCAUCAUGGCCCUUACGACCAGGGCUACACACGUGCUACAAUGGCGCAUACAAAGAGAAGCGACCUCGCGAGAGCAAGCGGACCUCAUAAAGUGCGUCGUAGUCCGGAUUGGAGUCUGCAACUCGACUCCAUGAAGUCGGAAUCGCUAGUAAUCGUGGAUCAGAAUGCCACGGUGAAUACGUUCCCGGGCCUUGUACACACCGCCCGUCACACCAUGGGAGUGGGUUGCAAAAGAAGUAGGUAGCUUAACCUUCGGGAGGGCGCUUACCACUUUGUGAUUCAUGACUGGGGUGAAGUCGUAACAAGGUA
RNAcentral lists this ribosomal RNA (1431 nucleotides) under metagenome. Its description in RNAcentral is "bacterial SSU rRNA". It matches the Rfam family "Bacterial small subunit ribosomal RNA". The record is from RNAcentral.